GCAACUCGACUGCNCGAAGCUGGAAUCGCUAGUAAUCGCGGAUCAGCACGCCGCGGUGAAUACGUUCCCGGGCCUUGUACACACCGCCCGUCACACCAUGGAAGUCUGCAAUGCCCGAAGCCGGUGGCCUAACCACUUAUGUGGAAGGAGCCGUCUAAGGCAGGGCAGAUGACUGGGGUGAAGUCGUAACAAGGUAAC
RNAcentral lists this ribosomal RNA (198 nucleotides) under uncultured bacterium. Its description in RNAcentral is "partial 16S ribosomal RNA". It matches the Rfam family "Bacterial small subunit ribosomal RNA", at positions 1307 to 1500 of the family's 1533-position model. The record is from RNAcentral.